This 301-nucleotide ribosomal RNA is filed under the name uncultured bacterium. Its description in RNAcentral is "partial 16S ribosomal RNA". It matches the Rfam family "Bacterial small subunit ribosomal RNA", at positions 509 to 807 of the family's 1533-position model. The record is from RNAcentral.
CAGUAGCCGCGGUAAAACGUAGGGUGCAAGCGUUAAUCGGAAUUACUGGGCGUAAAGCGUGCGCAGGCGGUUAUAUAAGACAGAUGUGAAAUCCCCGGGCUCAACCUGGGAACUGCAUUUGUGACUGUAUAGCUAGAGUACGGCAGAGGGGGAUGGAAUUCCGCGUGUAGCAGUGAAAUGCGUAGAUAUGCGGAGGAACACCGAUGGCGAAGGCAAUCCCCUGGGCCUGUACUGACGCUCAUGCACGAAAGCGUGGGGAGCAAACAGGAUUAGAUACCCGGGUAGUCCCUGUCUCUUAUAC